Bos taurus (domestic cattle) is the source of this 1121-nucleotide long non-coding RNA. The record is from Ensembl. Lineage: Eukaryota; Metazoa; Chordata; Mammalia; Artiodactyla; Bovidae.
CACCACGUGGCCCGUGGAUGGGGGAUGGGAGCCUGGAGAGUCCAAACCUGAGCUAGGGAGGAAAGAGACGGCCGAAGUGGUUCUCUGAGGAGACGUUAGCUGGGCCAGGAAAGGCACUGCAGGCAGCAGGUCAUCCCGGGCGAGGGAAGAACCUCCAGCAGGUCUGUUUGACCCAUCCAGGGUCUCUGGCUUGGCCAGGCUCCUGGGAACACAGUCAGCCCACUCCAGCCUGAACCUUAGAAAAAACCAUCCCCUUCCCCACCUACCAUAUUGCUCUGAGAGGCUGUUCUGAAAAAACCCUGGCCAGUCUCAGGCUUUCUGUCCUUCACGUUGGGGCCCUGAGAUCCCAGUCUCCUGGGCCCAGGGACACAGUAGAGGUGAAGAGCUCUUACCCAAGAAGGCCCCUGAAACUGCAUGCUCCUCCCACAUCUCCCAGGCGGCCCCGGAAACCAAGCCUGGCCACCCAAGAGGGGCAGGCCACAGCUCCCACAGAUGGUAGUGUGGCCAGCCUCUCUCCCCAGGGCCCACCCCUGCCAGGAAGAAACGGAACAGCCCAGCCUGACCUUGUGGUUCUGCAGCCCAUCAGAGAGCUGAGGUCACGAGGCAAGCAGGGGAACCAAACUGCAGAGGUUGACAGGUCACUCCAAGGAGCGUGAGACACACGCACGGUUUCACCCGGGGCAGAGGGGAGGAAAGGACGCUGCCAAUACAGCAGCCACAACAAGAUGGCCACACCGUGGCAGGCGCCCAGGGCUCGUGAUCGCUCCCGGUGGGACUGAGUGGUUCACAGUGAGUCCAGGUCGGAGAACAGGCAGGUCCUAAAGGUCCGGAUUCAUGACCAGGUGCUGAAUUGACAUCAUCAGAUGGACUAACCGCCCUGGUGACAGAGUUGGUGCCGUUUCCCAGAUCCUCCUUGGGACAACCUUGCUAGUCACCCCUUCCUCCCUGCCCUCAGGGUCAACAGCCGGCCUAGCCAACCCGGGGUGGGAGGACGCCUGCUGCCUCCUGUUGCGGCAGACUCCCUCUCCCCUCUCUCUGCAGUCUCACUGGCAAAUGAGUAAGAAGAAUAGAAUUACAGUUGGGCUACACGAGACACAGAAUUAGCGGGAUUAAAUAAAAAU